RNAcentral lists this transfer RNA (72 nucleotides) under Rickettsiales bacterium. RNAcentral describes it as "tRNA-Met". It matches the Rfam family "tRNA". From Rfam's summary of the family: Transfer RNA (tRNA) molecules are approximately 80 nucleotides in length. The record is from RNAcentral. Lineage: Bacteria; Pseudomonadati; Pseudomonadota; Alphaproteobacteria; Rickettsiales.
UGUGGGGUAGAGCAAUGGUAGCUUGCCAGUUUCAUAAGCUGGAGAUUGGAGGUUCGAGUCCUCCUCCCACAU